UAAUACAUGACACAAUAAAAAUGAAAUACAACAAAAAGAAAUUGCCUUUCAGGCCAACAAAUGCAUGAAUUUAUCGCGUAUCAAAGCUAUGUAGAGGAGACCAAACAAAAUUAUGGAAGAACAAAAAAUAAGCACCACCUAAGAAUUCACAGGAAAGUCAUAUAUGCCAGAGCAUUCUGAACCUAUAAUCAAUGCCGAGGUUUAUG
Molecule: unclassified non-coding RNA, 206 nt
Filed under: Hevea brasiliensis (rubber tree)
Lineage: Eukaryota; Viridiplantae; Streptophyta; Magnoliopsida; Malpighiales; Euphorbiaceae
Source: RNAcentral